CUGAAGUUCCCCUCAAGAUAGAUGGAGUAUGUAAUGAAGCUGUUAUAUUCAGUAAAACGAAUGAUUAGAGGAAUUUGUGGGACGAAACGUCUUCGGCCUGGUCUCAAACCUUUAUAAGUAUGAUGUCUCGUUUGCUUCAUGAAGCUCAGACAUUGAAUGCCUUUUCCAAGUGAGAUCAUUUCUGAUAAGCAGAAGUGGCGCCGUGGGAAUGGACCAAACGUUGGGUUAAAGUAUAAGUUUCAUUGAGUUAAAGCAUAAAUGAAGUAUG
This 268-nucleotide non-coding RNA is filed under the name Onchocerca ochengi. Its description in RNAcentral is "Eukaryotic large subunit ribosomal RNA". It matches the Rfam family "Eukaryotic large subunit ribosomal RNA", at positions 961 to 1227 of the family's 3401-position model. The record is from Rfam by way of RNAcentral. Lineage: Eukaryota; Metazoa; Nematoda; Chromadorea; Rhabditida; Onchocercidae.